Molecule: ribosomal RNA, 445 nt
Filed under: uncultured bacterium
Lineage: Bacteria
Description: bacterial SSU rRNA
Rfam family: Bacterial small subunit ribosomal RNA
Source: RNAcentral
GUGAGGAAUAUUGGUCAAUGGGCGAGAGCCUGAACCAGCCAAGUCGCGUGAAGGAAGAAGGAUCUAUGGUUCGUAAACUUCUUUUGCAGGGGAAUAAAGUGCAGGACGUGUCCUGUUUUGUAUGUACCCUGAGAAUAAGGAUCGGCUAACUCCGUGCCAGCAGCCGCGGUAAUACGGAGGAUCCGAGCGUUAUCCGGAUUUAUUGGGUUUAAAGGGUGCGUAGGUGGUUUGAUAAGUCAGCGGUGAAAGUUUGCAGCUUAACUGUAAAAAUGCCGUUGAAACUGUCGGACUUGAGUGUAAAUGAGGUAGGCGGAAUGCGUGGUGUAGCGGUGAAAUGCAUAGAUAUCACGCAGAACUCCGAUUGCGAAGGCAGCUUACUAAGCUACAACUGACACUGAAGCACGAAAGCGUGGGGAUCAAACAGGAUUAGAAACCCCAGUAGUCC